Molecule: ribosomal RNA, 114 nt
Filed under: Acanthosepion pharaonis
Lineage: Eukaryota; Metazoa; Mollusca; Cephalopoda; Sepiida; Sepiidae
Source: RNAcentral
UUACGGCCACAUCAUGUUGAAACGUCGGUUCCCGUACGAUCACCGAAGUUAAGCAACGUCAAGACUGGUCAGUACCAAGAUGGGUGACCGCUUGGGAAUACCGGUUGCUGUAAG